Long non-coding RNA from Pseudophryne corroboree (corroboree frog), 8774 nucleotides. RefSeq lists it as uncharacterized. The transcript is spliced from 13 exons. The record is from RefSeq and is a predicted model, not a curated record. NCBI's taxonomy places the organism in Eukaryota, Metazoa, Chordata, Amphibia, Anura, Myobatrachidae.
CCAUGUUCUUGCUUAUUACUGUACACAGUGCACAUGCAGCAUGCAUUGCAUGAUACUCUCUCUCUGACAAGGGAGCCGAGGUGGGCGUGAGAGGUAGCACGCCUGGGCGACAGCAACAGACUGCUGCUUACUGACAGGUCAGUGCAGGGAACCACCAGCUGUAAACUACCUGUGAGCCACCAGCAAGAAAUACCUAACACUAAAGUAGAUACAGCUGCAAUACAGGAGAUAGAACAUUUCAAUGAAUUAAUAAUAAAGCAGAGCUGUAAAAGUUGCUGACGUAGGAGUGCAGUUGACUCUACAGCACAAUGUUCACCUGUGCAGGUAUCUUCCAGCAGUCAUUCUACCCCAAGAAAUGAUUAUUACUUUGGAUCUGAUAUGCCGCAAGCGUUCAUCGCCAUGCUCUCAGCAAUGAUUGUCAUCACCACAAUCCCACCAAUGGGCCAAUACGCUGCCUGCAGUAACCAGCGUGAUACCACCAGCGCAGACUGCUGCCUUCUCACCAGGGACACAUGACUGGUACCAUGUUCCAGUUUCCGCUUUUUUGUCCAGUUUACAAGAGUCAGUGUGCAGUGCACAAAAAUGGUGACACAACUCUGUAAGUGACUGUGAGACGGUUCUAGCAGCAGAAAACUGAUCAGGGUUUGGCACAUGAGAAAAUGAUUGAUUGUGUAAAAUAUACGGCUGGAAGUCCUGGACAUCAAAGGUGAUAUGACAGGAAGGAGUUAAUUAUCCUCCAGGGGAACAUCCCUUCCUACUUGAUGGUGAGAGAUGCCAGGCUCUGAUUAGUGUGGUCUUGAUGCCAGAAGAUGUCAGACACAGUCUGUAACUGCCCUGAUCUACAGAGAGCGCUUGACCAGAGAACAAGAAUGGAAACUGAAGUCACAACAUUAGACAUCUCUUCCUGGCCUCUGAAUUCUGAGGGUCCGUUUUCUGGAACAUCGACACUAGAGCAAAUUAACAACUGCCUUUGUGUUCUCCAUUUAUCUAAGAAAAACUGAACCCAGACGACUGCGUAGGAUUAUAGCGCUGAUAGAAGGCACAAAUAAGAGGAAGACAGGAAACAAUGAAGCUGGAGAAAUUUAGUAUGGGAGACCAGUCCUGUUGUGCUGUUUCCUGGAAAAAAUUCUGAUGUCUGCUCAUUGCAUAAGUCCCACACACAAUGUUCCACUGACUGGCCUUGUCACCAUAGAAUUGGAUUUGUCAUGGAAGAGAAUGGAUGGACUGUCUGGCCUUGUGACCAUAUAGUUGGAGACUGUGGCCUUUUCACCACAGAGUUGGAUUUAGCCUGGAAAAGAAUGGACUGUCUGACCUUGUCACCAUGGAGUUGGAUUUGGCCUGGAAGAGAAUGGAUUCUCUGGCUUCAUAACCAUUUGGCCUGCAUUAGAAUGGACUCUCUGGCCUCAUAACCAUAGAGCUGGAUUUAUCCUGGAAGAGAAUAGACUGUCUGGCCUUGUCACCAUAGUGUUGGAUUUGCCCUGGAAGAGAAUGGACUAUCUGGCCUUGUCACAAUUGAGUUGGAUUUAUCCUGGAAGAGAAUGAACUGUCUGGCCUUGUCACCAUAGAUUUGUAUUUGUCCUGGAAGAGAAUAUACUGUCUGGCCUUUUCAUUGUCGAGUUGGAUUUAUCCUGGAAGAGAAUGGACUCAUGGGUUCUUCUGUGGAGAGUUUCUCAUCUUAUCAACCCAUUGUGAGGACACAUGAAAGACAAACUAACUAGGUAAAUGAGAUGGACCCACCACAGCCAGGUCCCAGGCAGUAGAAUGACAGAUGUAUACUUCGCUCAUUUCUUACCCAGUAAUCCAAAUGCAAAAUGUGUUAAAUCUGCAAGUGAAAUCACUAAGCUGCAUGUAAAACAAAGAGAUAACGAAUUCACCAUAAAGUACAUAUGAAACAUUCAUCAAAUCUGCAUAGAAGACAAGCUUUUGUCACUCCUUUUUCUGCACUGGAUGCAAGAGGUUCCCAGUUACGUUAAGCAUCACGGUUGCGAUGUAAUGCCGAUACAACAUAUAAACAGGAGCAGUCACCUGGGAUAUCUCCAGCUUCCCGACCCACGGCUGAAGCAGGACACUUUGCAAUCAUACAGAAGACUCUAAAUAAACUGGAGACUUUGGGAAGGCACCCAGCAGGAGGCUGACGAUUUGCUUAUCUCCAUGAAAACUCCUCUUGAUGCUACGAUACCUAAAUCAUUCUGCUGUGACUGAAGUGCUUAUAACAUAAUUGACAUCUCUAUGAAAGUUGGAGGGCACUAUACCAUGCUUAAAGCGGGGUUACCUUGUUUCCUAAACUCAUCAGCCCAGGAUUUACUCCUACAGUGCGAUGAGAACAGACUGAUUGGGGCUGGAGCUGACAUCAGACACCCUCCCUGAAAACGCUUGGGAACGCCUGCAUUUUUCCAGACACUCCCAAUAAACGGUCAGUUACCACCCACAAACGGCUUCCUCCUGUCAAUCAUCUUGCGAACACCCGUGCGAUCGAAUUUUUCGAACCAUUCCGUCGCUGACCGGCAAUGCCCUUUGUUGCUGUCCGGGGCGCGUGUGCAUUGCGGUGCAUACGCAUUUAUGACCUGAUCACCCGCUGUGCGAAAACGCAGAGCAACGGUCAGGUCUGAAUCCCCCCCUGUGUGUGUUGUUAUCUUCUAAUCACAUGAAUAGCCAGAGCACUCAAUUGUUUAUGUUUACAAUUUGGACACCCACGUCUAUACACGUCACACAGCAAUCGAUUGGGGCAAUUUGCUGUUUUGAAGGUGAUUGUGCAAACAAAUCUGCAAUGGGAUUCACAGAUGGUGGAUGCAGACUAAAAAUUAAUUGGGAUUGUUAAAUCAUGUUGUCCAACAUGGUGGAUUUCACAGACCAAUUGGGGCUGUAGAAUGCUAGUGUGUAGUAACAAUUAGCAGAUUUGCAGACCAGUUCUAGUAAAGUGAUUAGCCUUUGGCAGAUCAGUAUUUGCUGAAAAUGAUCUGAAAAUCAGUGAAAUAUGGGGCUAAUUCAGUAAGGAUAGCAAAUUCUGCUAAUCAGCAGAAUUUUCUAUCCUUUUGCUCGCAUGCUGGGGGCCGCGCAGCGCUGGGCAAGGCCGCCCAGCAUGCUGACCGGCGCCUCCCCCACUUCGACAAGCAGAAAUUGCGAUCGCUUUGCAAUUUCUGCUUGUCAGCAGAAACUCAAGACGACUCCUGCCGGUGCAGCUUAGCUGUGGCCGCAGGAGUCCCGGCGCCAUUUUACCUGCCGCAGAGGCUUUGCGUGAUGUCACACAGCCGCCCCGACACGCCUCCGUUCACCCGCCUACGCCCGUUUGGGUCCCCAACCUCCGCAACGCUCAGUCUUCUCCCUGGAAAUGGAGCGUCGCCGCCCCCCACCACCCACUGCCUGAUUGACAGGCAGAGGCGAUCACUGUUUCUGCUGCCCCCCCCCCCCCCCUGCAGAGAGUGCGGGCAAAUGUGCAGGACGGGCGCUGCGCAUGCACCCGCGGGGCCAUCAUAAAAAACAGGAUAUUAAUUACUUACUAGUAAAUCCUUUUCUCGUAGUACGUAGAGGAUACUGGGGUCCACAUUAGUACCAUGGGGUAUAGAUGGGUCCACUAGGAGCCUUGGGCACUUUAAGAAAUUAAUAGUGUGGGCUGGCUCCUCCCUCUAUGACCCUCCUACCAGACUAAGUCUAGAAACUGUGCCCGAGGAGACGGACAUACCUUGUGAGAAGGAUUUAACAGAACAGUGGUGAGAUUCGAACCAGCACACACCAAACAAGAGGAAAGCCAUGCUAACCAAACUUGAACAGGAACAGCAACGGCUGUACCAAUAACAAUACUUAACGUAAGUAACAGUGCAAGAAAACACAAAGAAUGCCUUUCUGGGCUAGAAUUUGAUGCUCAACUUCCAUGCCGUCAAACGUAGCCGCGGUAAGUCUUGAUAGACGAAUGGCCCUUGUUGCAGAAGGUCCUCUCGAAGAGGUAAAGGCCACGGAUCCUCCAGGAGCAUCUCCAGUAGGUCCGCGUACCAAGCCCUUCUUGGCCAAUCCGGAGCAAUGAGACUUGCUUGAACCUUUUCCCUUUUUAUUCUUCUGAGUAUCCUUGGAAUCAAUGGAAGCGGUGGAAACACGUACACCCUCUGAUAGAGCCAUGGAGUCACCAGAGCAUCUACCGCCACCGCCUGUGGGUCUCUCGACCUGGAGUUUCGUGUUGAGACGAGAGGCCAUCAUGUCGAUCUGUGGAGGUCCCCACCGACUUGUCAAGCACCCGAACACCUCCGGGUGAAGGGCCUACUCUCCUGGAUGGAGAUCGUGUCUGCUGAGGAAGUCUGCUUCCCAGUUGUCCUCUCCUGGAAUGAAGAUUGCGGACAACGCUAUCAUGUGUCUUUUUGUCCAGAGGAGAAUCCUUGUUACCUCUGACAUCGCUGCUCUGCUCUUCGUUCCGCCUUGUCGGUUUAUGUACGUCACCACCGUCACAUUGUCCGACUGAAUGGCUUGAUCUUGAAGAAGAUGUGAAGCCAGCAGAAGGGCGUUGUAUACGGCCCUUAGUUCCAGAAUGUUGAUUGGAAGAGUGGCUUCCUGACUUGUCCAUCUUCCUUGGAAGUGUUGCCCCCUGGUGACUGCUCCCCAACCUCGGAGGCUUGCGUCUGUGGUUAGAAGAAUCCAAUUUUGAAUCCCAAACCUUCGGCCUUCUGUGAGGUGAGGAGUCUGAAGCCAUCACAGCAGAGAAAUCCUGGCUCUUGGCGACAGACGUAUCCUCUGGUGCAUGUGUAGAUGCGAUCCGGACCAUUUGUCCAAUAGAUCCAGCUGGAAUCCAGCUUGCGUGAAACUGCGCCUCGUAAGCCGCUACCAUCUUCCCCAGAAGAAUGCACAGAUGCACCGAUAUUCAGGGAGGUUGUAGAACCUCCUGCACCAUCGACUGAAUUACCAAUGCCUUUUCCAAUGGAAGGAAAACUCUCAUUGCUUCCGUGUCCAGUAUCAUGCCCAGAAACAGAAGUUUCCUCAUCGGUUCCAGGUGAGAUUUUGGUAGGUUCAGAAUCCACCAGUGAUCCUGGAGCAGUUGAGUCGAAAUUGCAAUACUGUCCAGCAGCUUCUCCCUGGAUGAUGGUUUUAUCAGCAGGUCCUCCAGGUACGGAAUUAUGUUCACUCCCUGUUUGCGUAGGAGGAACAUCAUCUCUGCCAUGGCCUUGGUGAAUACCCGUGGCGCCGUUGAGAGGCCAAAUGGCAGGGCCUGGAACUGGUAGUGACAGUCCUGUAAUGCAAACCUUGAAAUUUGAAGAAUCUGUGAGGUUGGAGUUCCUGAAACUCCAGUCUGUAGCCCUGGGUGAUAAGAUCUUUGACCCAGGGAUCUAGUCCUGAUGUUGCCCAUAUGUGACUGAAAUAUCUCAAGCGGGCACCCACCUGCCUGUCUUCCAGGCACUGCGGUCCACCGUCAUGCUCAAGGCUUUGAGGAAGCAGAGCCGCAGGUCUGUUCCUGUGAACCUGCAGGAGCAGGUUUUCUGGGUUUACCUCUAUUACCUUUGAAGGUAGCAGAAGAACCCUUGGAUUUACCGUUGAACUUUGCUGUCCAAAAGGACUGCAGAGUUGGAGCAGAGUAGAUUUUACUAGCUGGGGGUGCUGCAGAUGGGAGGUAUGUAGACUUACCCACCGUAGCCUUGGAUAUUCACGCAUCCAGUACAUCUCCAAACAGGGCGUCACCUGUGAAUGGUAGGCUUUCUACUCCCUUUCUGGAAUCUGCAUCCACAUUCCACUGACGUAGCCAUAAGCCCCGAUGCGCCGACACAGCCAUGGAGCGUGCAUGGAGUAAGCCAAUUUCUUUAAGGGCUUCGACCAUAAAAUUAGCCGAGUCCUGUACAUGUUGUAGGAGUAAAACUAUCUCCCCCCAAUGUAAGGAAUCUAAGUCCUCAAUUAGAGUACCUGACCAUUUGGAAAUGGCCCUAGAGAUCCAAGCGCAAGCUAAAGUGGGUCUCUGGGCCACCCCCACAGCCAUGUACAGAUAUUUGAGAGUGGUGUCAAUAUUGCGGUCAGCCGUGUACUUUAAGGAGGCUGCACCUGGUACUGGUAAGAUUAUGUUACGGGACAACCUAGAAAUUGAGGCAUCAACAAUUGGCGAGACUUCCCACUUUUUCCUAUCAUCCUGCGGAAAAGGGAAAGAUGCUAUUAACUGUUUAGGGAUCUGACACUUCUUGUCAGGAGUGAGCCAAGUUUCUUCAAAGAUAAUUUAACUCUUUAGAUGCUGGGAACGUAGCAGAGGAUUUCUUUUUUUAUAUUGAAAUGAGAUUCCUCAGUGUCCUCUAUGACUGUAUCAGGAAUGGGCAGGACCUCCCUAAUAACCUCUAUUAGGGUCUAUAUUCCCUGUGACAGAGCUGCAUUCUCCCCACCUAAAUCCACAUCACCGUCAUCUGCAUCAGUGUCAUCAUCAUCGGUGUCAGUAUGCAGGAUCUGUGCCCGUGUACUUUUUUGUGGACGAAUGGCAGGGGUCUGAGAUGCUGGCAUGGGCAAUGUAUCUCUAUUCAUCAGGUCAUUCAUAGACUUAAGUAUUGCGUCCCUUUCUCAGUUUGGGACAAUUUAUUAGAAAUGUUUGCGAUCAUCCCAUUCAGUGAAUCUAACCACACUGGUUCUGACCCACUAGCCUGAGAAGGUGUACUAUCUUGGGGACGAGAAGCACUCUGCAGUGCAGGACACACACUCUUUUGAAAUGGCAACAAGUAAAAACACAGCCACACAGUAGAGAAGAGGGUGAAACACAGUUAACCCACGAGGGCCCUCUAGGGAGACACAGAGUAUGAUGGAGCCAGCUACAACGCGCCCCUAUGGCCAAUAUAAAACUUAGCCGGGUUGCAAACUAAGUACCCUUAAUAGGGGCUUAGUAUACCAUUACUGCUCCCCCCUUUUGCUAUAACCCCCUGGUUGCGCUGAGGUAAGCUUGAGUCUUGAAGGAGGAGCUGCGCGUCCCUGUGAGACUGUUCAGUGAGAUCUUCAGAGGGAAAAUGGCGCUGGUGAGCUGCUGGAUCCGCUCAUAGUGAAGCCCCACCCCCUUAAUGGCGCGCGGUCUUCCCGUUUUUUUAUACUGGCCUGAGGUAUUUAAUGUGCUUAACAGUGGGUUAAAACCCCUGUAAGCGUUAGCGCCAGUGUGGGUAGUUUUUGUGACUUCAGCUCGACCCUCACCACGUAUACACACCUAAGCAUGUUACUGAAGUCUGGAGCCGCAGCCUUGUCAGCGCUGCGCUCCUACCCUUGUGCCGCCAUUACCGCUGGUGACCCGCUAACCGGGACGCCGGCGUUCUACUCACCACUCUUCUUUCUUCUGGCUCUGUUAGGGGCGGGUGGCAUGCUGCGGGAGGGUACGCUCGCCGUGGUGGGGCUUGAGAAUGAGCUCAGGGUCAUGUCAGCGGAGAAACGGGACCAUUAACUCUUUAGGAAGUUGGGCCAUUCUCCCCCCUAAGUCCCACGAAGCAGGCAUGCUGGUGCCACCCAGCAGUGCCUGAAAAUAACAAACAGAAAAUAAAUGCAGAAAACUCUUCAGAAGCUUCCCUAAGCGUGACCGGCACAUUUUCGAAACGGAGUCUGGUAGGAGGGGCAUAGAGGGAGGAGCUAGUCCACACUAUUAAUUUCUUAAAGUGCCCAAGGCUCCUAGUGGACCAGUCUAUACCCUAUGGUACUAAUGUGGACCCCAGUAUCUUCUAGGACAAAAGAGAAAUUCCGGAUGGAUUGCGAUUUGCGAUCCAACCUGAAUUAGCCCCUAUAUCUGUUAUAUAUGGGCACAGAUUGGUGGAUUGGGGAAACUUUAAAUCUGGAAAAAUAUCUUAGAAUCUGCAAAUUCUGUCUUUUUGUGAUUGCUGAUGUAUGGGGGCCUUAUGGCCAAAAGGAAAAUGAUACCAUAUGUAAAAGCUUGCCUGAUCACCAGAAUCAGCACAUGAGUAUGGCUAAUAUAUAAUAGGAAUAUUUUGAGCAGACUGCAGAUUAAUAUGAAUUAUACAUAGAGCAGUGGACCUAACAUAACUGACAUGAGCUGCUUUGCCAUUUCAGCUUUUUGUUCUAUAUAAGCAGAACUUUGCACUGUUUAUGAGUUUUUGGGUGUAAAUGUAUUCAUUCUGAUUUAUUUAGAAUACAUAUUUACAAAUGACAUAUAAAAAGACACUAACUUGAAAAAAUAUAUUAUUUUUAAAUGUUAUUCUUUUAAAAAUAGGUACAAAAUGACAAUAAAAACAUGCUUUAUUUUAUAUUGUUUGUUCAUUUACUGUGGAUGUAGCUUUUCAAUGAUUUUAUAUGAGCAUUUUAAAAGAUAUUUCUUGGUUCAUUCACUCAAGCUUUAGACACAGGGCUGUUGUCUGUAGCAUAAUGCAGUGUUUCCCAAAUUUGGGUUGGAGGUUCAGAGCCAAAUCAAAUUAAUUAUGGCCAAUGUGAUAGGCAAAACCAGUGUUAGUUCUGCCAAUCAUAAAAUAUGUGAAAAACAUAAGCACAACCUUAUCCACCCCCACAGAACUGAAACUAAGGAUGAACCUUAAUUUAAUAAUUAAUAAGAAAUCUUUGGGUUAGGUAUGCUAUGAAAAUAGGUUGAUACUCUAGGGCACUGUGAUUCAAAACAGUUUGGGAACUACUGGCAUAGUGGACAGUGAUAAACUAUUACAGCACCACUAACAAUAAAAGAGUAAAAAUAAACCACACAAUGGUAAUUGCAAAUCCAUCUACAAAAAGCUGCACUGAAAAUGUAUGGGGGCAAGGGAAAACAGUUUAUUUUGAUGUUGCAUAUAUUAAUUCUGUAUAAGCUGAACUUUAAGAAAAAAAAAUAUCUCCUAUUAAGAAUUUUUAAGUCU